Molecule: ribosomal RNA, 309 nt
Filed under: Triticum aestivum (bread wheat)
Lineage: Eukaryota; Viridiplantae; Streptophyta; Magnoliopsida; Poales; Poaceae
Description: partial small subunit ribosomal RNA
Source: RNAcentral
AUGAAAUCAUUCAACCAACGAGAAAGUUAUGCACUAAGAAAUAGUGCCAUGUCCAGCGUACUGCGUGUAAGACAUAAAACACAAAUGGAACAGACAUGGUCAAUCGAGAUCCGAAACAGUACAGGAGCACUCAAUAUCUUUAGAAUUACAAGACAAGCUAAUCUGCAACGAGUAUCAAAUUCAAUCUUCAACAUCCGUGAACAUCCGGUGAUUCUUACUCCUACCAGGCUACAUAUUCUACCAAAACCAUGGAAUCCCAUCUCAAAUCCCAGUUUCCUUCAUAUGUCACUUGAACAGCACCAUGUAUGA